This 108-nucleotide microRNA precursor is filed under the name Marmota monax (woodchuck). The record is from RNAcentral. Lineage: Eukaryota; Metazoa; Chordata; Mammalia; Rodentia; Sciuridae.
UGUGUGUGUGGAGAGAGAGAGAGAGAGAGAGAGAGAGAGAGAGAAACUGAAGGGAAAAAAAAUUACCCCUCUUAUUUCCUCUCUCUUGCUCUUUCUUCUCUUUUCUUU